Molecule: ribosomal RNA, 497 nt
Filed under: uncultured bacterium
Lineage: Bacteria
Description: partial 16S ribosomal RNA
Rfam family: Bacterial small subunit ribosomal RNA
Source: RNAcentral
GAUGAACGCUGGCGGCGUGCCUAAUACAUGCAAGUCGAGCGAACAGACGAGGAGCUUGCUCCUCUGACGUUAGCGGCGGACGGGUGAGUAACACGUGGAUAACCUACCUAUAAGACUGGGAUAACUUCGGGAAACCGGAGCUAAUACCGGAUAAUAUAUUGAACCGCAUGGUUCAAUAGUGAAAGACGGUUUUGCUGUCACUUAUAGAUGGAUCCGCGCCGCAUUAGCUAGUUGGUAAGGUAACGGCUUACCAAGGCGACGAUGCGUAGCCGACCUGAGAGGGUGAUCGGCCACACUGGAACUGAGACACGGUCCAGACUCCUACGGGAGGCAGCAGUAGGGAAUCUUCCGCAAUGGGCGAAAGCCUGACGGAGCAACGCCGCGUGAGUGAUGAAGGUCUUCGGAUCGUAAAACUCUGUUAUUAGGGAAGAACAAAUGUGUAAGUAACUAUGCACGUCUUGACGGUACCUAAUCAGAAAGCCACGGCUACCUACGUG